UACAGAGGGUGCGAGCGUUGUUCGGAAUUAUUGGGCGUAAAGGGCGCGUAGGCGGCGCCGCAAGUCACCUGUGAAAACUCUGGGCUCAACCCAGAGCCUGCAGGCGAAACUGUGGUGCUGGAGUAUGGGAGAGGUGCGUGGAAUUCCUGGUGUAGCGGUGAAAUGCGCAGAUAUCAGGAGGAACACCGGUGGCGAAGGCGGGUCUCUGGGCCGAUACUGACGCUGAGGAGCGAAAGCGUGGGGAGCGAACAGG
RNAcentral lists this ribosomal RNA (253 nucleotides) under uncultured bacterium. RNAcentral describes it as "partial 16S ribosomal RNA". It matches the Rfam family "Bacterial small subunit ribosomal RNA", at positions 524 to 776 of the family's 1533-position model. The record is from RNAcentral.